CAAGAUUUUUGAGUGAAAAACGUGUGAAACGCUCAAUUAUGUGCCUUAACGUAAUAUUAUUAAAGGUGCUUUUAAUCUAAUUUGAAGAUCGUGUUUGUGCACAUAAUACAUAAAGUAUACAAGGAAUGCAUUUUUAUUUGCAUAAUAAAUUUAACCGUAAAUAAAAUAUAUUCGUAUAAUUUAAGUUACAUUAUAGGUUUGAAAAUAAUGAUAUACAUAACGGUUGUAUUAUAUAAUAGUUAGUUAGAUGAAUUAGUUGUAAGUUGCAUAGAAAAAUGCGGGUGUAUAUAACAUUUUACUAAAUUAUAUUUCAUGCCACAAUGUUGUAAAUAUGUCGCCAUCAUUUACCAUAAUAUUAGUAUCUGUAAUAUCAGUAUUAAAGAAAUGCCCUUAUUUAUUAUUUAAGGUGUGGUGUACAGUCGACGUCAAAAAUAUGUUUACACUUUUGCACCUUACCCCUUUGUAAAAGCGAAAAAUGUAAACAUGUCUUUGACGUCGACUGUUCGUUGGCAAACUGAAGUAUGAUAAGCAUAGCAAAGAUUAAAAAACAGGCAAAAAACGGCAAAAAAAUCACGUUUAUUGUAUGGGAGCCCCACUUAAAUAUUGAUUAUAUCCUGUUUUUAGUAUUUGUUGUUAUAGCGGCAACAGAAAUACAUCAUCUGUGAAAAUUUCAACUGCCUAGCUAUCACAGUUCAUGAGAUACAGCCUGGUGACAGACAGACAGACAGACAGACGGACAGCGGAUCUUUGGUAAUAUGGCCCCGUGUUUACCCUUUGAGUACGGUUUUUGCUUUUUUUAUGCGCCUAUAAUUUACUUCUGUUUGCCAUCUCACAUCACAUCGUCACUUCGACUACGGGAUCUUUUUAUUUAGCAUAUAAUUGUAGCUUUUAAGAGUUAGGGAACAACAUACAGAACAGACUGGUUUUAUAUAUAUCUAAGCGUUUUCAGACAAGAUCUAAAAUCAUAGAAAACUUGUAUUUUUUACAGAAAUAUGGCUUUCAUGUAUACUUAGAAUCUCAAAUCAUAUUUAUUUAAAUCUUCCGUGUUGUUAAAUGAAUAUUACGCUUUGGAUUUUCUGUAACCCCUCGUAAAUGACAGAUCUUGCCAAUAAUGUCCUAAAAUCUGUCAAACUACCCUCAUAAAAUAUUUUUGGAUAUGUAUUUUGUAAUUUCAUUUUGAAAAAUUCUAAAUUUCGUAUUGAACUAAGUUAUUCCAUAAGUUGUUAUUGUUAAGUAACAAUAAUUUAACAUCAAUAAAGCGAAAUAUUUUUA
Molecule: long non-coding RNA, 1272 nt
Organism: Cydia splendana
Lineage: Eukaryota; Metazoa; Arthropoda; Insecta; Lepidoptera; Tortricidae
Exons: 2
Source: RefSeq, a predicted model, not a curated record